UGGCUCAAUGGUUAGAGCGUUGGACUUCUGAUCAAAGGGUCGUGGGUUCGAUCCAC
This 56-nucleotide transfer RNA is filed under the name Schistocephalus solidus. It matches the Rfam family "tRNA", at positions 8 to 63 of the family's 71-position model. Rfam says of the family: Transfer RNA (tRNA) molecules are approximately 80 nucleotides in length. Their secondary structure includes four short double-helical elements and three loops (D, anti-codon, and T loops). Lineage: Eukaryota; Metazoa; Platyhelminthes; Cestoda; Diphyllobothriidea; Diphyllobothriidae. The record is from Rfam by way of RNAcentral.